This 497-nucleotide ribosomal RNA is filed under the name uncultured bacterium. RNAcentral describes it as "partial 16S ribosomal RNA". It matches the Rfam family "Bacterial small subunit ribosomal RNA", at positions 28 to 507 of the family's 1533-position model. The record is from RNAcentral.
GAUGAACGCUGGCGGCGUGCCUAAUACAUGCAAGUCGAGCGAACAGACGAGGAGCUUGCUCCUCUGACGUUAGCGGCGGACGGGUGAGUAACACGUGGAUAACCUACCUAUAAGACUGGGAUAACUUCGGGAAACCGGAGCUAAUACCGGAUAAUAUAUUGAACCGCAUGGUUCAAUAGUGAAAGACGGUUUUGCUGUCACUUAUAGAUGGAUCCGCGCCGCAUUAGCUAGUUGGUAAGGUAACGGCUUACCAAGGCAACGAUGCGUAUCCGACCUGAGAGGGUGAUCGGCCACACUGGAACUGAGACACGGUCCAGACUCCUACGGGAGGCAGCAGUAGGGAAUCUUCCGCAAUGGGCGAAAGCCUGACGGAGCAACGCCGCGUGAGUGAUGAAGGUCUUCGGAUCGUAAAACUCUGUUAUUAGGGAAGAACAAAUGUGUAAGUAACUAUGCACGUCUUGACGGUACCUAAUCAGAAAGCAACGGCUAACUACGUG